Molecule: ribosomal RNA, 1555 nt
Filed under: Staphylococcus aureus
Lineage: Bacteria; Bacillati; Bacillota; Bacilli; Caryophanales; Staphylococcaceae
Description: 16S ribosomal RNA
Rfam family: Bacterial small subunit ribosomal RNA
Source: RNAcentral
UUUUAUGGAGAGUUUGAUCCUGGCUCAGGAUGAACGCUGGCGGCGUGCCUAAUACAUGCAAGUCGAGCGAACGGACGAGAAGCUUGCUUCUCUGAUGUUAGCGGCGGACGGGUGAGUAACACGUGGAUAACCUACCUAUAAGACUGGGAUAACUUCGGGAAACCGGAGCUAAUACCGGAUAAUAUUUUGAACCGCAUGGUUCAAAAGUGAAAGACGGUCUUGCUGUCACUUAUAGAUGGAUCCGCGCUGCAUUAGCUAGUUGGUAAGGUAACGGCUUACCAAGGCAACGAUGCAUAGCCGACCUGAGAGGGUGAUCGGCCACACUGGAACUGAGACACGGUCCAGACUCCUACGGGAGGCAGCAGUAGGGAAUCUUCCGCAAUGGGCGAAAGCCUGACGGAGCAACGCCGCGUGAGUGAUGAAGGUCUUCGGAUCGUAAAACUCUGUUAUUAGGGAAGAACAUAUGUGUAAGUAACUGUGCACAUCUUGACGGUACCUAAUCAGAAAGCCACGGCUAACUACGUGCCAGCAGCCGCGGUAAUACGUAGGUGGCAAGCGUUAUCCGGAAUUAUUGGGCGUAAAGCGCGCGUAGGCGGUUUUUUAAGUCUGAUGUGAAAGCCCACGGCUCAACCGUGGAGGGUCAUUGGAAACUGGAAAACUUGAGUGCAGAAGAGGAAAGUGGAAUUCCAUGUGUAGCGGUGAAAUGCGCAGAGAUAUGGAGGAACACCAGUGGCGAAGGCGACUUUCUGGUCUGUAACUGACGCUGAUGUGCGAAAGCGUGGGGAUCAAACAGGAUUAGAUACCCUGGUAGUCCACGCCGUAAACGAUGAGUGCUAAGUGUUAGGGGGUUUCCGCCCCUUAGUGCUGCAGCUAACGCAUUAAGCACUCCGCCUGGGGAGUACGACCGCAAGGUUGAAACUCAAAGGAAUUGACGGGGACCCGCACAAGCGGUGGAGCAUGUGGUUUAAUUCGAAGCAACGCGAAGAACCUUACCAAAUCUUGACAUCCUUUGACAACUCUAGAGAUAGAGGCUUCCCCUUCGGGGGACAAAGUGACAGGUGGUGCAUGGUUGUCGUCAGCUCGUGUCGUGAGAUGUUGGGUUAAGUCCCGCAACGAGCGCAACCCUUAAGCUUAGUUGCCAUCAUUAAGUUGGGCACUCUAAGUUGACUGCCGGUGACAAACCGGAGGAAGGUGGGGAUGACGUCAAAUCAUCAUGCCCCUUAUGAUUUGGGCUACACACGUGCUACAAUGGACAAUACAAAGGGCAGCGAAACCGCGAGGUCAAGCAAAUCCCAUAAAGUUGUUCUCAGUUCGGAUUGUAGUCUGCAACUCGACUACAUGAAGCUGGAAUCGCUAGUAAUCGUAGAUCAGCAUGCUACGGUGAAUACGUUCCCGGGUCUUGUACACACCGCCCGUCACACCACGAGAGUUUGUAACACCCGAAGCCGGUGGAGUAACCUUUUAGGAGCUAGCCGUCGAAGGUGGGACAAAUGAUUGGGGUGAAGUCGUAACAAGGUAGCCGUAUCGGAAGGUGCGGCUGGAUCACCUCCUUUCU